RNAcentral lists this ribosomal RNA (253 nucleotides) under uncultured bacterium. RNAcentral describes it as "partial 16S ribosomal RNA". It matches the Rfam family "Bacterial small subunit ribosomal RNA", at positions 524 to 776 of the family's 1533-position model. The record is from RNAcentral.
UACGGGGGGGGCAAGCGUUGUUCGGAAUUACUGGGCGUAAAGGGCUCGUAGGCGGCCAACUAAGUCAGACGUGAAAUCCCUCGGCUUAACCGGGGAACUGCGUCUGAUACUGGAUGGCUUGAAUCCGGGAGAGGGAUGCGGAAUUCCAGGUGUAGCGGUGAAAUGCGUAGAUAUCUGGAGGAACACCGGUGGCGAAGGCGGCAUCCUGGGCCGGCAUUGACGCUGAGGCGCGAAAGCCAGGGGAGCAAACGGG